Molecule: ribosomal RNA, 409 nt
Filed under: uncultured bacterium
Lineage: Bacteria
Description: bacterial SSU rRNA
Rfam family: Bacterial small subunit ribosomal RNA
Source: RNAcentral
UAAGGAAUAUUGGUCAAUGGACGAAAGUCUGAACCAGCCAUCCCGCGUGCAGGAAGAAGGGGCUCUGCCUUGUAAACUGCUUUUGAAUGGGACGAAAGAGCUAUAUGCGUAUAGUGUUGACGGUACCAUUAGAAUAAGCACCGGCUAACUCCGUGCCAGCAGCCGCGGUAAUACGGAGGGUGCAAGCGUUAUCCGGAAUUACUGGGUUUAAAGGGUGCGUAGGCGGUGAUAUAAGUCAGUGGUGAAAGGCCGUAGCUUAACUAUGGGAUUGCCAUUGAUACUGUAUGACUUGAAUCAGGAUGAGGUUGGCGGAAUGUGGCAUGUAGCGGUGAAAUGCUUAGAUAUGCCAUAGAACACCGAUUGCGAAGGCAGCUGACUGGACCUUGAUUGACGCUGAGGCACGAAAGCG